CCUACGGGCGGCAGCAGUGGGGAAUAUUGGUCAAUGGGCGAAAGACUGAACCAGCAACGCCGCGUGAGGGAAUAAGGCUUUCGGGUUGGAAACUUCUUUUUACAGGGAAGAACAGACGACGGUGCCUGUCGAAUAAGCCACUGGCAACUACGUACCAUCAGCCGCGGUCAUACGCAGGUGCCACGCUUUGUCCGGAUUUACGAGGUGUAACGGGAGUGUAGCCGGGUUGACCAGUCAGAGGUGAAAUUCGCGGGCUCAACCCAAGAACUGCGUUUGAAACUGUUAGUCUUGAGUAUCGGAGAGGCAGGCGGAAUGCGUAGUGUAGCGGUGAAAUGCGUAGAUAUUACGAGGAACGCCGGUGGCGAAGGCGGCCUGCUGGCCGACAACUGACGGUGAGGCGCGAAAGCGUGGGGAGCGAACAGGAUUAGAUACCCGAGUAGUC
This 442-nucleotide ribosomal RNA is filed under the name uncultured bacterium. RNAcentral's name for it is "partial 16S ribosomal RNA". It matches the Rfam family "Bacterial small subunit ribosomal RNA", at positions 338 to 795 of the family's 1533-position model. The record is from RNAcentral.